RNAcentral lists this ribosomal RNA (123 nucleotides) under Petromyzon marinus (sea lamprey). The record is from RNAcentral. Lineage: Eukaryota; Metazoa; Chordata; Hyperoartia; Petromyzontiformes; Petromyzontidae.
GCUUAGGGCACAAAUAAUAACCUUGAAUGUGCCCAAUUCUGUCCGAUCUUGGAAGCGAAGCAGGGUUAGGCCCGGUUAGUGCUUGGGCGAGCGACCACCACGCACAAACAGGUGUUAUAGGCU